RNAcentral lists this long non-coding RNA (269 nucleotides) under Dasypus novemcinctus (nine-banded armadillo). Its description in RNAcentral is "lncRNA (ENSDNOG00000050790.1)". The record is from RNAcentral. Lineage: Eukaryota; Metazoa; Chordata; Mammalia; Cingulata; Dasypodidae.
GGAAAAAUUGAUUUGGGAGUUGGGGAAUGAAGGCUUUCUCUUUCCUUUCUUGCCUUCUUUAUUAUUAAUAUUUUGUAAAGAUCCAGCGCUUAACGGAGUGGCCCCGAACGAGGCCAGACUGCGCGGACGGCGGGGAGCGCAGCGGCUUCUCCAGGGGACGGCGCCAGGCGGGAGUGGCCGCCCCGGGACCCCGACUGUCCGCCCAGCUCCAGUUUCCUCGUCGGUGAGUUGGAGAUGAUAAUUGCAGCAGGUGGCUGUUUUCCACCACC